GGAAUUUUCCGCAAUGGGCGAAAGCCUGACGGAGCAAUACCGCGUGAGGGAGGAAGGCUCUUGGGUUGUAAACCUCUUUUCUCAAGGAAUAAGUACUGAAGGUACUUGAGGAAUCAGCAUCGGCUAACUCCGUGCCAGCAGCCGCGGUAAUACGGAGGAUGCAAGCGUUAUCCGGAAUGAUUGGGCGUAAAGCGUCCGCAGGUGGCAUUGAAAGUCUGCUGUUAAAGAGUGAGGCUUAACCUCAUAAAAGCAGUGGAAACUACAAAGCUAGAGUGCGUUCGGGGCAGAAGGAAUUCCUGGUGUAGCGGUGAAAUGCGUAGAGAUCAGGAAGAACACCGGUGGCGAAGGCGUUCUGCUAGGCCGCAACUGACACUGAGGGACGAAAGCUAGGGGAGCGAAU
Molecule: ribosomal RNA, 400 nt
Filed under: uncultured bacterium
Lineage: Bacteria
Description: bacterial SSU rRNA
Rfam family: Bacterial small subunit ribosomal RNA
Source: RNAcentral